GACUAUGGCCAUGCCACCCUGAACAAGCCUGAGGUCUGAUCUCAGAAGCUAAGCAGGGUUGAGCCUGUUUAGUACUUGGAUAGGAGACCACCUAGGAAGACCUGUAGGCAUAAAUA
RNAcentral lists this ribosomal RNA (116 nucleotides) under Pteropus alecto (black flying fox). RNAcentral also lists the same sequence under 1 other name. The record is from RNAcentral. Lineage: Eukaryota; Metazoa; Chordata; Mammalia; Chiroptera; Pteropodidae.